AUGGAGGCCAUUCAACUAUCAGGCGAACCAGAUAAUUUUCGAUGGAAUUUGCAUCAAAAUGGCAGGUUUUCGGUCAAAUCCUUGUACGAUGCAAUGGUUCAUUCUGAUGUUCCGGUGGAUAACAAGAAACUGUGGAAGCUCAAAAUUCCUGUAACAGUGAAGAUUUCCCCCCUGUUUCUAAACAGAGGGGUCAUCUUGACCAGAGAUAACCUGGCAUGACGUAAUUGGUAGGGUAGCAAGACAUGUGUCUUUUGUCAAGAUGACGAGUCCAUUAAACAUUUAUUUUUUAGUGUAAGUUUGCUUGUGUAG
RNAcentral lists this ribosomal RNA (309 nucleotides) under Triticum aestivum (bread wheat). RNAcentral describes it as "partial small subunit ribosomal RNA". The record is from RNAcentral. Lineage: Eukaryota; Viridiplantae; Streptophyta; Magnoliopsida; Poales; Poaceae.